Molecule: unclassified non-coding RNA, 406 nt
Filed under: Hevea brasiliensis (rubber tree)
Lineage: Eukaryota; Viridiplantae; Streptophyta; Magnoliopsida; Malpighiales; Euphorbiaceae
Source: RNAcentral
AUAUCACUGGACUAAGAAAUGGAGACAUCGAAGUCACGUGGGCUGAUGGGAUGAUAUCCCUGGUUGGGCCUCAAGCAAUUUAUGUUGUUGAUCGUGAUGAUGAUGAGUCUAUUGUGGCUGGAAGUGAUGUUGGUGAUGAUGUAGCUAGCUGGGAAACAGUUGAAGAUCAUGAAAGGGAGACUCUUGGGAACGUAGAAGAGGAACUUGGAACAACAAAUGCUACUGACAUCAGUAUUGAAGAUGAAGAUGGUGCCAUGGCCACUGAAGAUUCAGGAAGGAACGGGGCUCUGUCUAUUCCCCUGGCUGCACUAGGAUUUGUGACCAGGCUGGCCUCUGGAAUUUUUUCUAGGGGCCGCAAACAGACUGAUUCUUCGAGUUUAGAUUCCAGAAGUGAAGAUGAAGAAAG